UGUUGUUAUUGUUGUUUAAAUCUUCCUGGAAGGCAGAAAGAAAGAGAUAAAAAGGAAAAAACAGCAUUUGUCACUUAUAGUGCUCUGGUUAGCACAGUAGCUGGGCCCCUGAACCCUCUACAGGCCUCCCAAGCUGGCACUGAAUAAAAUGUGAGAAAUGAAAGGAACUUUUCCGUGAGUCUGGCAGCGCCGACAGACACUGAGGUGGCAGAGCUGUCUGGUCCCAGUCCACAUGCAGAGGCCUGCAGCUCCUCCUUCCAGCCCGCACCCACCAGAGCUUCUCAGACGGGCCGUGUCCUGAGAAGGUUGUUGCCAAUGUAGAUGUUUGAGAGGCUCACUGAUGAACAAAUCAACAGAGCAGAUUUAAUCUGAAGAGAUCCAAAUAUUGUGCUUCUUUGGACUCAUAGAAAUGGCGAAAGAUUUAACAUCAGGAAGUACUUAAGUCAGCUAAUUUCUAGAGCCUUCUUCCUCCCUGUCACUUGAUUCUAGAUAGGAUCACCAGUUAGACAUCAGAACCAGAUCUUUUUAUCCAGAGAAGUACCAGUUUGUUGUUUUUCCUUCCGAAGCCAAGUCCUCGAGUUUCAGGUAGACUUCAGUUGAUUUCUGCGAGGUCUUUGCUUUCUCUCUGCCAGAAUAAUCACUGCUGAGGAAAGCAAAAAGCCCCGAAGAGCCUGGCUUGGAAUAAAAACAUGCACCAUACAAGAUUUUUAUGAAGAUUAAAUAACUUGGGCUAAAAUAUUCUGGAAGCUGCCAAGGGCUCUACAGAUGAGCUAUACAGAGGCAUUUGCUGAAAACUGGCCUGGAUUGACAAGCGCAAUGCAAACGUGGCUGCGGCAGUUCCAGGCAUCACAUGGUAACAAGAUCACAUCCAGUGAAGAAGGAAUUCUCAUAAGACAGUCAGCAGAUUUUGCAGUCCUGCAAGGUGGAUAUCACUCUCACCUUCAGCGCACAAAGAAAGGAGGUAUACAGAAGACACAGAACUCACCAAAGUCACAGGAACUAGGUGAGGAUGAACCAGGCUGCAUCCAAGCAGCCCAGCUUCAGGGUCUGUAUUCUUUGCCACUACCCAGAACUUUUACCAAUAAGCAAAGCUAUUGUUUGCAAUAACAGGAAGCAAAAAUAGCAAAAAGUUCCCUUUAAGGGGGAGUGUUAUAAUAUACUUAACAAUCAGAAUGGCUGAAGCACUGAUCUGUGAGAGUGGCUACUGGUCAUAGCCUGGAGCUGGUCUUUUAGGUCCUCUUUGGUUACUGGAUCCUGGGAGGAUGGAUGAGGAAGUGGUCUCAGGCAAGGGGUGGAGUUAAGUGGCUGUGGAAGGUACUUUGGAGGCUCAGGCAGCAGCUUUUUUUCCCCUUAAACUUUUGUUUUAAGUUCUAGGGUACACGUGCAGGAUGUGCAGUUUACAUAGGUAAACGUGUGCCGUGGUGGUUUGCUGUACAGAACAAACCAUCACUCAGGUAUUAUUAAGCCCAGCACCCAUUAGCUAUUCUUUCUGAUGCUUUCCCUCUCCCAACUUCCACCCGACAGGCCCCAGUGUGUGUUGUUCCCCUCCCUCUGUUCUCAUUGUUCAGCUCCCACUUAUAAGUGAGAACAUGUGGUGUUUGGUUUUCUGUUCCUGCGUCAGUUUGCUGAGGAUAACAGCUUCCAGCUCCAACUAUGUCCCUGCAAAGGACAUGAUCUGAUUCCUUGUUAUGGCUGCAUAGUAUUCCAUGGUGUAUAUGUAACACAUUUUCUUUAUCCAGUCUAUUGUUGAUGCACAUUUGGGUUGAUUCCAUGCCUUUGCUAUUGUAAAUAGUGUUGCAAUGAACAUACAUCUUUAUAUAUGAAUAUAUGUAUCUUUAUAAUAGAAUGAUCUAUAUUCCUUUGGGUAUAUGCGCAGUAAUAAGAUUGCUGGGUCAAAUGGUAUUUCCGCUUCUAGAUCUUUGAGGAAUCGCCACACUGUCUUUCACCAUGGUUGAACUAAUUUACAUUCCCACCAACAGUGUAAAAACGUUCCUUUUUCUCCACAACUUUGCCAACAUCUGCAGUUUCUUGACUUUUUAAUAAUUGCCAUUCUGAC
Molecule: long non-coding RNA, 2056 nt
Filed under: Homo sapiens (human)
Lineage: Eukaryota; Metazoa; Chordata; Mammalia; Primates; Hominidae
Description: HSALNT0319770
Source: RNAcentral